This is a regulatory RNA element of Planomicrobium sp., 186 nucleotides long. NCBI's taxonomy places the organism in Bacteria, Bacillati, Bacillota, Bacilli, Caryophanales, Caryophanaceae. The record is from Rfam.
AAUAGUUGAAAUCAUAAAGGUGCUUAUGUGUAACAGCAUGAGUUAAAAGGGAAGCCGGUUCGAAUCUGGCGCGGUCCCGCCACUGUAAGUGUGAGCAAUCUGUUGAGGCCACUGGAACAAAUUUCCGGGAAGGCACAGAAAGCGUUGAGCACGAGCCAGGAGACCUGCCUUUAUGAAACGCCCCAU